UAAUACAGAGGUGGCAAGCGUUGUUCGGAAUUACUGGGCGUAAAGGGCUCGUAGGUGGCCAACUAAGUCAGACGUGAAAUCCCCAGGCUUAACCUGGGAACUGCGUCUGAUACUGGAUGGCUUGAAUUCGGGAGAGGGAUGCAGAAUUCCAGGUGUAGCGGUGAAAUGCGUAGAUAUCUGGAGGAAUACCGGUGGCGAAGGCGGCAUCCUGGACCGAGAUUGACACUGAUGAGCGAAAGCUAGGGGAGCAAACGGGAUUAGAUACCCCGGUAGUCCUAGCCCUAAACGAUGAAUGCUUGGUGUGACGGGUAUCGAUCCCUGUCGUGCCGAAGCUAACGCAUUAAGCAUUCCGCCUGGGGAGUACGGUCGCAAGGCUG
Molecule: ribosomal RNA, 377 nt
Filed under: uncultured bacterium
Lineage: Bacteria
Description: bacterial SSU rRNA
Rfam family: Bacterial small subunit ribosomal RNA
Source: RNAcentral